UGGUCAAAUGAACAGUGUGAAGUCGUGCAAGGGGGCACGACUUCUUCAUUAGAAGUCGUUUUGGCCCCCCACAACUUUCCUUUGACGUUGAUUUUGCCCAUUUUGGUAAUAUAGUAGGCAAAUUUGCCUACUAGACUGCAAAAACCGGAAUAGGAAGAUCCAAAGAAAGUUAAGCUCAAAGAUCUUGACAUUGUGAGGUGAAUAAUUAUGAUAAAUAUACAGAGAGAUUGGAAAAAGACUAAAUCUUAAUGUAGUUAAUAGUUUUUGCAAUUCAAUCCAAACAAAAAUUACAGUACCUCGUUAAAAAAAAUAUAAAAAAGCUCUUAAAACUCAUAAA
Molecule: long non-coding RNA, 337 nt
Filed under: Vigna radiata
Lineage: Eukaryota; Viridiplantae; Streptophyta; Magnoliopsida; Fabales; Fabaceae
Description: long non-coding RNA (VRAD_LNC012366)
Source: RNAcentral